This 99-nucleotide signal recognition particle RNA is filed under the name Spirochaetaceae bacterium. Its description in RNAcentral is "signal recognition particle sRNA small type". It matches the Rfam family "Bacterial small signal recognition particle RNA". From Rfam's summary of the family: The signal recognition particle (SRP) is a universally conserved ribonucleoprotein involved in the co-translational targeting of proteins to membranes. Archaeal SRP consists of a 7S RNA and homologues of the eukaryotic SRP19 and SRP54 proteins. In most bacteria, the SRP consists of a 4.5S RNA and the Ffh protein (a homologue of the eukaryotic SRP54 protein). The record is from RNAcentral. Lineage: Bacteria; Pseudomonadati; Spirochaetota; Spirochaetia; Spirochaetales; Spirochaetaceae.
AUUCAGGAACCAUGCGAACAUAAACCGCCUAACUCCGCCAGGGCCGGAAGGAUGCAACGGUAAGUGGAUUUAUGUUGCGCCGUGGUAAUCUUGAGUAUG